AACGUCGCGAUCGCCUUACGGCUCAGUAACACGUAGCUAACCUACCCUUAAGUCAAGGAUACCCUCGGGAAACUGAGGCUAAACCUAGAUAGGAGAUAUUCCCUGGAAAGACUUAUCUCUCAAACUCGAGCUUAAGAAUGGGGCUGCGGCGGAUUAGGCAGUUGGCGGGGUAAUAGCCCACCAAACCUAUGAUCCGUAAGGGCUCUUAGCGGAGAGGCCCUGAGAGGGAAUCUGAGACACUAUUCCCAGCCCUAUGGGUGCAGCAGUUAGGAAUCUUUUGCAAUGCGCGCAAGCGUGACAAAGCGAGCCAGAGUGAUUUUCAAUUUGAAAAUCUUUUGCCAAAUGCAAAAAGUUUGGCGAAUAAGGACUGGGCAAGACUAGUGCCAGCCGCCGCGGUAAUCCUAGCGGUCCGAGUCGCAGCCAUCAUUAUUGGGUCUAAAAUAUCCGUAGCUUGCUGUAUAAGUUUCUUGUGAAAUCUGGCAUCUUAAGUGUCAGGCGCGCAAGAAAUACUAUUCAGCUAGAGACUGGAAGACGUAAGAAGUACGUUUGAAGUAGCGGUAAAAUGUGUUAAUCUCAGACGGACUAACAACAGCGAAGGCAUCUUACGAGGACAGUUCUGACAGUUAAGGAUGAAGGCUAGGGGCGCAAAGUGGAUUAGAUACCCAUGUAGUCCUAGCAGUAAACACUGCACACUAAACAUUAGUACCUCCCCGAGAGGUAUUGGUGCUGUAGGGAAGCCGAAGAGUGUGCUACCUGGAAGUAUAGCCGCAAGGCCGAAACUUAAAGGAAUUGGCGGGGGAGCACA
This 805-nucleotide ribosomal RNA is filed under the name uncultured archaeon. RNAcentral's name for it is "bacterial SSU rRNA". It matches the Rfam family "Archaeal small subunit ribosomal RNA", at positions 68 to 880 of the family's 1478-position model. The record is from RNAcentral.